Lycium ferocissimum is the source of this 2496-nucleotide long non-coding RNA. RefSeq lists it as uncharacterized. The transcript is spliced from 2 exons. The record is from RefSeq and is a predicted model, not a curated record. NCBI's taxonomy places the organism in Eukaryota, Viridiplantae, Streptophyta, Magnoliopsida, Solanales, Solanaceae.
UGUAACUACUACUGCUUAUCUCUGUUCACAUUAAAAUUAUGAAAGUUUCUAUUCCAAAAUUUAUAUUUCAGUUGGUUUCUGAACUUUUGUCUAUUGCUUGGAUAUCCGUUGUUCGUUGAUACUGUGCCAAACUUUAUUUAAGUUAGUAUGUGUUUUUUUGUUGGAAUUCACUUAUCAAGUUAGAUUUACAAUACACCAAUGGACUACAUAUAACGUUAUCUACAUCUAUUCCAAGUCUCGAACCUGGAAAAUACUAUCUCAUCAUACUAAUCCAUCUAUCUCUUGAAUAUUUUCUAAAUAAAUUUAUCCAUUGAAUUCCAACUAUUAAAUAAUUAAACUAAAAAUCAUGUCUACUUCUUUUCUAUUUUUUCUUUUAAUCUAUGGAUGUACCUUCUUUCAUUCGUUGAUAAUCAUUUUAUUAAGAGUAAAAUGGAAAAUUUAAAGUUAAAUAUUUUUGUAACUCAUAAAAUAAAUGUAUAUAAUUAUAAAUAAUAUUUAUUUAAUAUUUUUAUUAUGAUUGAGAUAGUUUGGGAAUAACGUGCAACUGCACGUUAAUAGAGACUAGUUAUUAUGAAAGCAUGAAUAUAAAUGUUGAUUGACCAAAAUAUCCUUUAAAUAUUGAACGACUUUUGUACCCUUAUUAGUUAAAAUCUUCUCUAAAAAGUUCAUUUCAUAUUGGAUAAAAUUGUAAUAUUAAUUAUUUCCUAAUAUCUAGGACUUCGAAUCAAACUGAAAACCCAAAAUCCUAAAACCAACGUUACUUCCUUUUCUUUUCGUUUAUAAAUUUGAGUUAGUAGGAAAUAAGGACUCUACUUACUCAUUAUCUUUGAAUUUUAAGAAAUUAGCAAGUUCUAGCAAAAUAAAACUAAGAAAAACUUUUUCCCUAGCAGUUCUUACUACUGUCGUUUUUUGUUUUUUAUUAUAUGUUUCCUUUAAAUUUUUUACAUGACAACAUUUUGUUUGAAUAAAAACUUCAAUACAAUAAUUGAGAUCAAGUAACAUAUGAAUGCAACUACUUUUAAUUUAAUUUUUGGCAUUAUUGUUCAUUUGUUAGUAUUACUUUUUCAGCCAUCUUCUUAUUGGGUAUUUUAAUCUCAUUCUUUAUCUUAUACCAAAUAAAGUGAAUGAUGUAGAAACGUAAGGUUGGAGUUAAUUUAAGAAAAUGUAACCAAACCAAUAUCAAGUAUUUCAAAGAACUAUCCCGAGAGCAAAUUGAAGUUUAUGAAGUUAGAUUUGUACUACCUUGAUUUCUAUUUUUAGAUUUGUACUACCUUGAUUUCUAUUUCCUAGCUCAACUAUAAAUAUUUUCUUAAUAUUAAUGCAAUUUUUUUUUACUAUCUUUUGCACACAUUUUCUAAUAAAUAAAAAUUUCUAAAGCUGACGUAGUAACGCACGUCUACAGAGACUAGUUUAUUUAAAAGUAUUUAUAUGACGUCAGAAAUCAGCUUCAAGGUUUUCAGAAACUACAAUAACAAAGUAAUAGUAAAUAAUAAAAUAAAUUCAAAUAGAAAUAUCAAAAUGAUUUGCCCUUCUCUUAACGUCAUUUUCGCACUAUUUUUCUUCCAUUUUCUAGAUCGAAAUGCUCUGAAAAUCUCUCAAAUCUAUUGGUGGAUCUCUUGUAUGAAGUCUUUGCUUCUCUUGUUCCUUCUUCGUUCACGGUUUUCUUCCUCGAUUUUCAUUCAUUCUCUCUCAACUGUUAUUGUUGAAGUUACCAUUGUUGAACCCUUCAAGCUUUUGAAAAAUUCUUGGAAUUGGGUGUGCUUUCUACGUACAUUGGCUUGGGCAUUACUAAUUAGAGCUAUUUUUUGGUUAUUCUUUUAUCAGAUAAGCGAUAAAUCUUUUUGUGCACGGACUUUUUGAGGAUCGGUUCUGCGGAUUUACCUUUCUGCUUAUCUCACACAGAAGCAUACUAAAAGUCCACCCUGAAAAGUCAACUCUUUAAGAGAUCCUGGAGGGACGAGAUGCAAAGAAGCUUCAUUACUGAGCUUGCAUUCGGGGAGAUGUGGUUGCUGGCUGACUUGUUUUUAGUAGGUUGGAGUAUUCGGCAUCAAGAAGUUAUACUGAUGUGAGCAAGGCUGACCAAAACUCUCCUCAAAAACUACAAAUACCAAGUGGUCCAACAACACGAGCUCAAGCUAGAAAGUUUCAAGAAGAAAUACAAGGUUUGGAAAUAAGCUCGUGGGACAAGGAAUAGAAGCCCACAAAGCAUAUCUGCAGAAGGACCUGAAGAUAGACCACAUGACAUUGAUAUUCCCAAGAUUGAGAGGCUAUUUUUGGGCCUUUGGGGCAUGCUGAAAAGACCAGCUACUUAUUAGUUAUUUUCAGCUUAUUUAGCUAAUGGGCAAAAGUCCAUCUGAACCUUGUAUUUUCCUAGCUUUAUAUAGCUCAUUUUGGAGGUUGUAAAUGCUAGUUUAUAUUAAUCUUUGAAGACUCUUUGUGAGAGGUUUUGGGAUAGAUCCCUAUGUUCUUUUGUGAUCAAUUAUUGGUUGCUGCAAG